RNAcentral lists this long non-coding RNA (1741 nucleotides) under Brassica napus (rape). RNAcentral describes it as "long non-coding RNA (BNAP_LNC010278)". Lineage: Eukaryota; Viridiplantae; Streptophyta; Magnoliopsida; Brassicales; Brassicaceae. The record is from RNAcentral.
AUAUACACUAGGGACAAUGUAAUUUAAGUCUGAGGGAAUGUUUACUGAUAUUAGUGUGUUCAUGAGUCUUAUUAAAAUAUUUUCAAAAGAGUUUUAUUGAGUCAAGAAGGGGAUAAUAAACUUAUUAGAUAUUUGCUUGUUAUGUAACCACUAUUUAGCACCAUUCUAGACUUAUUGAUUGCAGAUAGUACUAAAGAUACUAAAGUGGAUCAACCUGUCAACUAUUCACACUUGUUGAGAUUGUUUGAAGGAACCAAAGCUGACCUCCAACACUAAACCUGACACAACUGCUUGUCUUGAGAUCUAAAAAGUAUUUAUAUGGCUUCUAAAACCCUAGUGGGCUCAGUCAACAAAUCUGAGAAAGCCCAUUAAAACAUAGAAAUCCGACUAACUGGGAAAUGCCGAGCGGGUACGUGACGUCGUUCCACAAGGUCGCUCAGGUCACAGCGGCUACUUGACCCCGCUGCGCUCGUCCGCUCCAGAUCAUCCUCGUAUCGCAACGAAAUGCCGAGUGGGUUGAUGAUGUCGCAAUGGACACCCGCUUUGGUUUCACAGCGGGUACGUGACCUCGCUGCGCUCGCCCGCUCCAGCCGACUGCUCCAUACUUCAAAGGAUGCGAGCGGGUGCCGCAACUCGCUCCGGUAGGUCGCUCUAGAGUUUACACCUUUUCUCCAAAAAUGUCGAGCGGGUACGCCAUGUAGCUGCGAGAGGUCGCUCCAGGUUAGAGCGGGUUGCUCACCUCGCUCCAGUAGGUCGCUCCAGCUCCUCAACUCGCUCAAUGAUCAUUUUCUACUUCUUUUUGAAUCACAAUGCUCCCAAACAUCUCCAAUCACUCCAUAGCACUCUCCAACACCUAAUAAGGACAAUGCAUGCAAUAUGGACUCUAAAUAUGCCUAAUUCAUAAUCUAUAUGAUCAAAAUGUACAAGAUAUGAAGGCUAAAAACAUGUAAAUAUGCAAGAUAUCAACUCCCCCACACUAGUCAUUUACUUUUCGUCAAGUAAACUUUUCAAAACACAAGGAGGAGAGAUACAAAGAUGGGAGCUUAGCCAAAAGAAACACUCAGUGCACUCAAUGACAUCCUAAAGAAACAUAGAAAAUAGCAUGAACACACUCUCUUAUUAUACUCUAGCUUCUCUAGGCAUAUAAAUACUCUUAUGUCUCUACACAAGAUGCAAUGCUUUUCAACCAACAUGCUCUCUCCACCAACCCUAACAUUGAUUCACACACACACACACAAGGUGAAUUCUCACAGAUGGGCACAUGAUCUCAAUCAUUUGGCUAGUUGAUCAAAGGGUCUAAUAUGGAUGAAGAGGAGGAUUCAAUGCAAUCAUUUUAAGGUGGCAAUCACUCAAGAAUCAAGGUUAUGCAAAAUUUAUCUAAGACUAGGAGCAAUUAAUGCAUACAUGGAUCCUCAUCAUUCUACCCCAUUCCUAAGUGAUUACAAAUUCUACACCCUUUUCAUUCAUCCCAUAACCCAAAAUGAAAAACACUCACAUCACUCACCCAAUGAACAACAUUCUUUUCUUAAGAGUUAACCACUAAGGACCUCUUAUUCACUUUUCAUAUUUCUAAGUUCUAACACAUUUUAUUAUUCCUUCCCCACUAUCUUAUUGAAUUUUUUUUUCUUUUUUUUUUCUUCUUUUUUUUUUUAUAGAGGAGGAAAGUCUCAAACAAUAUAAUCAAGAGCUUUCUUAUCUUUCUAUUCUAGGUCCCUAGCGCUUUUCUUUCUCAUGACAAUCU